Molecule: ribosomal RNA, 178 nt
Filed under: uncultured bacterium
Lineage: Bacteria
Description: partial 16S ribosomal RNA
Rfam family: Bacterial small subunit ribosomal RNA
Source: RNAcentral
AACUCGCCUACAUGAAGCUGGAAUUGCUAGUAAUCACAGGUCAGCAUACUGUGGUGAAUACGUUCCCGGGCCUUGUACACACCGCCCGUCACACCAUGAGAGUUGAGAAUACCCGAAGUCCAUGUCAAAGUGGCCGAAGGUAGGCUUGAUGAUUGGGGUGAAGUCGUAACAAGGUAUC